GACGAACGCUGGCGGCGUGCCUAAUACAUGCAAGUUGAGCGAUGAAGAUUGGUGCUUGCACCAAUUUGAAGAGCAGCGAACGGGUGAGUAACGCGUGGGAAAUCUCCCUGUGAGCGGGGGACAACAUUUGAAAAGGAGUGCUAAUACCGCAGAACAACUUUAAACAUAGGUUUGAAGGUUGAAAGAUGCAAUUGCAUCACUCAAAGAUGAUCCCGCGUUGUGUUGGCGAGGUGGUGAGGUAAAGGCGCACCAAGGGGAUGUUACAUAGCGGAACUGAGAGGAUGAUCAGCCAGACUGAGAGUGAGACACGGCACAAAGUCCUACGGGAGGCAGCCGUAGGGAAUCUUGAGGCAUCGGUGAAAGUCAGUCCGCGCAACGCCGCGUGAGUGAAGAACGGUGUCGGAUCGUAAAACUCGGUUGGUAGAGAAGAACGUUGGUGAGCGUGGAAAGAUCAUUAAGUGACGGUAACUACUCAGAAAGCGACGGCUAACUACGUG
Molecule: ribosomal RNA, 497 nt
Filed under: uncultured bacterium
Lineage: Bacteria
Description: partial 16S ribosomal RNA
Rfam family: Bacterial small subunit ribosomal RNA
Source: RNAcentral